GCUUGUCUCAAAGAUUAAGCCAUGCAUGUCUAAGUAUAACUCUUUUACUUUGAAAACUGCGAACGGCUCAUUAUAUCAGUUAUAGUUUCUUUGAUAGUCCCUUACUACUUGGAUACCCGUAGUAAUUCUAGAGCUAAUACAUGCAUCAAUACCCAACUGUUCGCGGAAGGGUAGUAUUUAUUAGGUAUAGACCAACCCUCUUCGGAGGUGCUUUGGUGAAUCACAGUAACUGAUCGAAUCGGCGCGCAAGCGGCGAUAAAUCAUUCAAGUUUCUGCCCUAUCAGCUUUCGAUGGUAGUGUAUUGGACUACCAUGGCAGUCACGGGUAACGGAGAAUUAGGGUUCGGUUCCGGAGAGGGAGCCUGAGAAACGGCUACCACAUCUAAGGAAGGCAGCAGG
Molecule: ribosomal RNA, 398 nt
Filed under: uncultured Tintinnidium
Lineage: Eukaryota; Ciliophora; Spirotrichea; Tintinnida; Tintinnidae
Description: partial small subunit ribosomal RNA
Rfam family: Eukaryotic small subunit ribosomal RNA
Source: RNAcentral